Cyprinus carpio carpio is the source of this 2566-nucleotide long non-coding RNA. The record is from Ensembl. NCBI's taxonomy places the organism in Eukaryota, Metazoa, Chordata, Actinopteri, Cypriniformes, Cyprinidae.
ACUGACCUGUCUUUUCAGCAUCAUGGCAUCUGGAGAUAAUUCUCUCAUCAACAUGUCCUAUUGGGAGUGUGGUAAAAGGAGGAUGCGAUUCUUGUAUAUUACAAACAACAACUCGUUUAAUGUUGCUAAACCAAGCACAAACGAGGAUCAGAUGAUCCCUCUCUUUCUUGGAGCUGAUCUGUUCGCAGACACAGAUGUUCACAGUAAAAAUCAGCCCAGAUACCAUGCGAAAUAUGCUAAACGAGGAUUGGCAACCAAACUGGUUUUCCCAUCAGACUACAGAUUCCAAGGACUGCGACUCCCCUAUUCCAACAACAGUCUGUGGUUCUAUAGUGUUCAUGGAGUUUUUCGAGUGGCAUUUGAACUGUAUAGCAAACAAGAUCAGCUCUCAGUUAUGGAGUCAUUUCAGGAUGUAUGGAAAUCUCGAAUAAAUGACAACAACUUGAACAUGACCUAUCAUCUUGGUGCCCAGGAUGUUCAACCCCAAAAUGAUCAAGAUGCGCAAACAAUUUUGGAAAAUAAUACAUGUUCAUCAUACCAAGUCAAUCGACAGUUUGGCGAAGUAGAAACAAACUUCUUUCCAAUAGUCACAGAUCAGUCAGAUAUUUCAGCAGCUUCAGACCAUGACUACUGUUCCUCAGAGCAAACAAACUUAAGCCAGUCUACUUUACUUGCACAGAAACUUCGAAGCCUAGGGGAAAAAGUGAAGUUAUUUACAAGUAUUGAAGCAGAACAUUUGAAGACUGCCACAAAGGUCCUGGACUAUGUUGAAUACUGUAUUACUGGGAUGAUUGACGAGGAAAAACUGAUGGACACUGUGAUGGCCCUGUUUCAAACUCAUUUUCAGAGCUACUCCAUCUACUCAAGCAGUCUGCUGAAGGCUGUGGCAGGUUGGCUUGGCCAGCAGUUCAAUGCAGCCAACAGCACCAUUAGCCACCGGGUUGAAGGUUUUAAGGCCCAACACAUUGAGCACAUUACAAACUUGCCGCCUCCAGAGGAGCUGGCAACUGAACUUUUCCCAGAGGCAAUGCGAAAUCUUCUUACACACUGGAUGGGUCUGAGUGAUGAGGCAGAAAACUGGAAAAGACACAGCGAAUACCCCAUUUUAUUACUUAUUCUAGAAUUUGCUAAUCACAAUCUUAUCACAGGAGUAGCUCAUGUCUUGUAUUCCAGUCUAAUAUGCAAAUAAGUAUACUUCGAUGUAGGUUAUACAUUACAUAUCAUUUGGUCGCAGUUUUGUUGGUUUAUAGCCUUAAAACACAAUUGAUUCCAAAUAAAUAAAAAAAAGUCAAAUGUUUAUGUCCUUUCCACAGCUAGCUGUUGACAGAUGUAGUAUUUUGUCCUAAAAGGAAGAAAAAGACAGCAAAAAGUAUUAAAUGAAAUCUGAAUUUAAUGUUUCUGAAAAUAUUCAGGCUGAAAGUUUGAAUCCAAACACAAGAGGGCAGCAGAGCUUCACGUACUGUUCUCAUCACUGAAAAAUAAAGCACACCUGAACAUCAAGCAUUUCAAAAUUAAAUUUUGUUUGUAAUUCACUUGUAUAACAUAAUACAAUAAUAAUAAAAUAAAUCAAAUAGAAUACAUAUUCACCUGGAUCCAGUCACCAAUGGCUUACGUAGACAAUUCAGUAAUCAAAUUGCUAUGUAUCUUUUUAAAUGUAAUGUGCGUCUUUACGUGUCUCUUUAAAGAAAUGUUAUGCUAUUUUUUUAAAAGAGACAAAUAAUAUUGUCUUAUUUUAAUUGGGCAGCAACAUAUUCAGCUAUGUCUGGUAACUGACAAAUAUAUAUUUUUAUAUCAUUAGCAUAUAUAAAAAAUAUUAUUAAUCAUUAAUUAAAUCAAACUCAUAAGGUUCUACAAAUGAAUUUCUAUGCCUUUUUUGGGGUAAUGAUAUUCAACCAUAUACACUUAUACCUGUUACCUGAAGUAUAUAAGUUUCUUAUCAUGUGGAUAACAUUACAGUAUUAGUCUUUUUCUGUCAUUUACUGAUAUAAACGUCUAAUCAUUUAGGCAUUGCUGUAACUCUUCUAGCAUUCAGCUCAUAUUUAAUUUUCCUUGAUCAAACUGUUGUGGUGUUAUGGCUUUCAGUUGUCACAUCCUCUAUGCGUCCUCAGAACACCCACUUGUCUAUGAGUCAAGUUUUGUUAAAUCUGAAUAUACACUAGUCAACAUUUGAAGUUGUCCCAAAACCAAAAUGUGUUUCUUUAACAAUUCAUGCAUAACAUGUAAGUCUGUUAUUAGUCAAUGUUGUCAUUAAUGAAAUGUCAUCCUUCAUGGCUUUUGACGGUCUACAGAUAUGAUUGUUUUUCUUUGGGUACUCAUAAUUGGGAACUGGUCAUAAUAUUUAAUAUGCCAUCAUUUACCAAUUUACCUGGUCAUAACACCAAAUCAAGACCGAUACUUGACCCUGCAUUGCAUCUGAAAUCGUUUCAUGCCUGCAAAAUGACCUUCAGGAUGUAACAGGGGUGCGAGUGUCCACUCAGAUUGUGAGACGACUUCAUGAAGUUGGCUUGAGAGUCAGAAGCCCAGCACACAAACUGGCACAUCUGCAGUGGGCCACAGAACACCGCAG